This 1429-nucleotide ribosomal RNA is filed under the name uncultured organism. RNAcentral's name for it is "partial small subunit ribosomal RNA". It matches the Rfam family "Bacterial small subunit ribosomal RNA". The record is from RNAcentral.
AUGACGAACGCUGGCGGCGUGCUUAACACAUGCAAGUCGAACGGAAAGGCCCUGCUUUUGUGGGGUGCUCGAGUGGCGAACGGGUGAGUAACACGUGAGUAACCUGCCCUUGACUUUGGGAUAACUUCAGGAAACUGGGGCUAAUACCGGAUAGGAGCUCCUGCUGCAUGGUGGGGGUUGGAAAGUUUCGGCGGUUGGGGAUGGACUCGCGGCUUAUCAGCUUGUUGGUGGGGUAGUGGCUUACCAAGGCUUUGACGGGUAGCCGGCCUGAGAGGGUGACCGGCCACAUUGGGACUGAGAUACGGCCCAGACUCCUACGGGAGGCAGCAGUGGGGAAUAUUGCACAAUGGGCGGAAGCCUGAUGCAGCAACGCCGCGUGCGGGAUGACGGCCUUCGGGUUGUAAGCCGCUUUCGCCUGUGACGAAGCGUGAGUGACGGUAAUGGGUAAAGAAGCACCGGCUAACUACGUGCCAGCAGCCGCGGUGAUACGUAGGGUGCGAGCGUUGUCCGGAUUUAUUGGGCGUAAAGGGCUCGUAGGUGGUUGAUCGCGUCGGAAGUGUAAUCUUGGGGCUUAACCCUGAGCGUGCUUUCGAUACGGGUUGACUUGAGGAAGGUAGGGGAGAAUGGAAUUCCUGGUGGAGCGGUGGAAUGCGCAGAUAUCAGGAGGAACACCAGUGGCGAAGGCGGUUCUCUGGGCCUUUCCUGACGCUGAGGAGCGAAAGCGUGGGGAGCGAACAGGCUUAGAUACCCUGGUAGUCCACGCUGUAAACGGUGGGUACUAGGUGUGGGGUCCAUUCCACGGGUUCCGUGCCGUAGCUAACGCUUUAAGUACCCCGCCUGGGGAGUACGGCCGCAAGGCUAAAACUCAAAGGAAUUGACGGGGCCCCGCACAAGCGGCGGAGCAUGCGGAUUAAUUCGAUGCAACGCGUAGAACCUUACCUGGGUUUGACAUGGAUCGGGAGUGCUCAGAGAUGGGUGUGCCUCUUUUGGGGUCGGUUCACAGGUGGUGCAUGGCUGUCGUCAGCUCGUGUCGUGAGAUGUUGGGUUAAGUCCCGCAACGAGCGCAACCCUUGUUCACUGUUGCCAGCACGUUAUGGUGGGGACUCAGUGGAGACCGCCGGGGUCAACUCGGAGGAAGGUGGGGAUGACGUCAAGUCAUCAUGCCCCUUAUGUCCAGGGCUUCACGCAUGCUACAAUGGCUGGUACAGAGAGUGGCGAGCCUGUGAGGGUGAGCGAAUCUCGGAAAGCCGGUCUCAGUUCGGAUUGGGGUCUGCAACUCGACCUCAUGAAGUCGGAGUCGCUAGUAAUCGCAGAUCAGCAACGCUGCGGUGAAUACGUUCCCGGGGCUUGUACACACCGCCCGUCAAGUCAUGAAAGUUGGUAACACCCGAAGCCGAAGGCCUAACCGUUGUGGGGGAGCCGUCGAAGG